GGUAGCAAUACUGCGCUGUCGAGUGGCGCACGGGUGCGUAACACGUAUGCAACCUACCCUUAACUGGGGAAUAACCCUGUGAAAGCGGGGCUAAUACCCCAUAAUAUUAUGGUAAGGCAUCUUACUAUUAUCAAAGAUUUAUCGGUUAGGGAUGGGCAUGCGCCCCAUUAGUUAGUUGGUUAGGUAACGGCUAACCAAGACUGUGAUGGGUAGGGGUUCUGAGAGGAUUAUCCCCCACACUGGUACUGAGACACGGACCAGACUCCUACGGGAGGCAGCAGUAAGGAAUAUUGGGCAAUGGACGCAAGUCUGACCCAGCCAUGCCGCGUGCAGGAUGACGGCCUUAUGGGUUGUAAACUGCUUUCGUAUGGGAUUAAAGUGUUGUACGUGUACGACAUUGCAAGUACCAUACGAAUAAGCAUCGGCUAACUCCGUGCCAGCAGCCGCGGUAAUACGGUGGAUGCAAGCGUUAUCCGGAAUCAUUGGGUUUAAAGGGUGCGUAGGUUGAUUAUUAAGUCAGUGGUGAAAAUUCCGGGCUCAACCCGGGACUUGCCGUUGACACUGAUAAUCUUGAGUGUAACUGAUGUGGGCGGAAUGUGUCAAGUAGCGGUGAAAUGCACAGAUCUGACACAGAACACCGAUAGCGAAGGCAGCUCACAACAUUACAACUGACACUGAGGCACGAAAGCGUGGGUAUCAACCAGGAUUAGAUACCCUGGUAGUCCACGCUGUAAACGAUGAUCACUAGGCUGUUUGCGAUACAUUGUAAGUGGUAAGCGAAGCGAUAAGUGAUCCACCUGGGGAGUACGUCGGCACGAUGAACUCUAAGGUUUGUCGGGGCCCGCUCAAGCGGAGGAGCAUGUGGUUUUAUUCGAUGAUACGCGAGGAACCUUACCUGGGCUUGACGUAUGGUGCAUGAGUGUGAAAGCACUCUUUCCUUCACAGGACUUCAUACGAGGUGCUGCAUGGUUGUCGUCAGCUCGUGCCGUGAGGGUAGGUUAAGUCCUCACGAGCGCUACCCCUGUUUUUAGUUGCCAGCAGGUUAUGCUGGCACUCUAGAAAGACUGCUGCGCAGCAGAGAGAAGUGGGGAUGACGUCAAUCAGCCGGCCUUACGUCCAGGGCUACACACGUGU
RNAcentral lists this ribosomal RNA (1134 nucleotides) under uncultured organism. RNAcentral's name for it is "bacterial SSU rRNA". It matches the Rfam family "Bacterial small subunit ribosomal RNA", at positions 75 to 1225 of the family's 1533-position model. The record is from RNAcentral.